UAAGUGCUGAAAGCAUCUAAGCACGAAACUUGCCCCGAGAUGAGUUCUCCCUGAGACUUUAAGUCUCCUGAAGGAACGUUGAAGACGACGACGUUGAUAGGCCGGGUGUGUAAGCGCAGCGAUGCGUUGAGCUAACCGGUACUAAUGAACCGUGAGGCUUAACCUUACAACGCCGAAG
RNAcentral lists this ribosomal RNA (178 nucleotides) under Klebsiella pneumoniae. RNAcentral describes it as "partial 23S ribosomal RNA". It matches the Rfam family "Bacterial large subunit ribosomal RNA", at positions 2765 to 2925 of the family's 2925-position model. Lineage: Bacteria; Pseudomonadati; Pseudomonadota; Gammaproteobacteria; Enterobacterales; Enterobacteriaceae. The record is from RNAcentral.